UCGUCAGGUAGGAUAAUCCUUACCUGUUCCUCCUUUUGGAGGGCAGAUUAGAACAUGACGAUGGAGUUAAAAAAAAAAAAAAGUAUGAGGCAGAGACUUCAGGUUUUGGACCACUACGUAAAGAGCCUGGAAAUACUACCCCAGUCCUAAGAACAAGAACAAAUCUGAA
Small nucleolar RNA from Rhinolophus ferrumequinum (greater horseshoe bat), 169 nucleotides. Its record names the gene U8. It matches the Rfam family "U8 small nucleolar RNA". Rfam says of the family: U8 is a member of the C/D class of snoRNA which contain the C (UGAUGA) and D (CUGA) box motifs. U8 is the RNA component of a small complex (the U8 snoRNP) which is required for accumulation of mature large subunit ribosomal RNAs, 5.8S and 28S rRNAs. U8 RNA has been identified in human, mouse, rat and Xenopus. NCBI's taxonomy places the organism in Eukaryota, Metazoa, Chordata, Mammalia, Chiroptera, Rhinolophidae. The record is from Ensembl.